UAAGCAGGAAUGAUAUGGCAUCUGUUAAUAUUACCACGCGAAAUUUAUUUGAAAACGAUAUUGAAGACAAUUUAUCAUUUAUGGUCAGAUGAGUCUUUUGAAAACGUAUUCUAUUUUGAGCAUCUAAUAGAGUUGUGAUUUUAAAGAAAUUAUCACUGAUACUGAUAGACCGUAAUAAUCAUAAAGGAAGGUACAGUUCCAAAUUUCAAUGAUGUUGACAAUGUAUCAAUAUCAAUGAUGUUAUCAUGCACGCAUUCAUUGUUUUUCAAUCAUACAGUUAAUAAUAGUAAUAAUUUUAGUCGUAACAUAAUAUUUUGAAGUCUGCUGUGGCACUUGGGACCUGAGACGUUAACGUUGUGUGAAGUGUUUUAUGACUUAAAACUAUAGUUAUAGUAAAUUUGACUAAUACUAAUAAUCGUAAUUAGGUCUACACUUGCAAGUUGCUGAAGACAAAAGUGGAAAGUUUCUGUUAUACUCACAGUUUUAGUGUUACGCAACGAGACUAUUUUUAAUGUCAGGUUUUUAAUUUGGUUAAAACAUUUGUAUGAGGAAAUGAAUGGAAAAACAGCAACUCACAGAAGUUCACUUCUAAGUUUAUCACCGAACAGGGCUAUUUAUCCAUCUUCUAGAAUUUCUGGCUUUGUUGUCUUCUUAGUCAUCAGUAAAGGGUUGUUGGGACUUUGUUACUUUCUGGCUUACGAUAUUUUAAAAGCCGUUCACGUAGUGCAGUUUCUGUUCAUUAUCAAAGCCAUGUAAGUAUCUCUGUGAAUUAUUUUAAA
Limulus polyphemus (Atlantic horseshoe crab) is the source of this 779-nucleotide long non-coding RNA. RefSeq lists it as uncharacterized. Lineage: Eukaryota; Metazoa; Arthropoda; Merostomata; Xiphosura; Limulidae. The transcript is spliced from 3 exons. The record is from RefSeq and is a predicted model, not a curated record.